RNAcentral lists this ribosomal RNA (253 nucleotides) under uncultured bacterium. RNAcentral's name for it is "partial 16S ribosomal RNA". It matches the Rfam family "Bacterial small subunit ribosomal RNA", at positions 524 to 776 of the family's 1533-position model. The record is from RNAcentral.
CACGUAGGGCGCAAGCGUUGUCCGGAAUUAUUGGGCGUAAAGAGCUCGUAGGCGGUCUGUUGCGUCCGCUGUGAAAACCCGGGGCUUAACCCCUGGCUUGCAGUCGAUACGGGCAGGCUAGAAUUCGGUAGGGGAGACUGGAAUUCCUGGUGUAGCGGUGAAAUGCGCAGAUAUCAGGAGGAACACCGGUGGCGAAGGCGGCAUCCUGGACCAACACUGACGCUGAGGAGCGAAAGCCAGGGAAGCAAACGGG